CCUACGGGAGGCAGCAGUGGGGAAUAUUGCACAAUGGGGGAAACCCUGAUGCAGCGACGCCGCGUGAGUGAAGAAGUAUUUCGGUACGUAAAGCUCUAUCAGCAGGGAAGAAAAUGACGGUACCUGAAUAAGAAGCCCCGGCUAACUACGGUCCAGCAGCCGCGGUAAUACGUAGGGGGCAAGCGUUAUCCGGAUUUACUGGGUGUAAAGGGAGCGUAGACGGCAGCGCAAGUCUGGAGUGAAAUCCCAUGGCUUAACCAUGGAACUGCUUUGGAAACUGUGCAGCUAGAGUGCAGGAGAGGUAAGCGGAAUUCCUAGUGUAGCGGUGAAAUGCGUAGAUAUUAGGAGGAACACCAGUGGCGAAGGCGGCUUACUGGGCUGUAACUGACGUUGAGGCUCGAAAGCGUGGGGAGCAAACAGGAUUAGAUACCCGAGUAGUC
Molecule: ribosomal RNA, 440 nt
Filed under: uncultured bacterium
Lineage: Bacteria
Description: partial 16S ribosomal RNA
Rfam family: Bacterial small subunit ribosomal RNA
Source: RNAcentral